GUGAAAUAAGUCAAUAGUUUGAAGAACAAUUGUUGAUUAGAUGCUUUUUUCAUUAAUUAGGCUAUAUUUUCCUGAACUUUAUGGUCUAUCUACUAGAAACUCAUGGACAAUAUGCAUACAGAUAUAAAAAAUGAAUACUAUAUAUGAAUAUAUAAUUUAAAAGUUAUUCAAGUAUAAAUUAACAAAGAUCAGUUUUCCAUCCCAAAUUUUUGUGUGUAAAGUACAUGUAGGAAAGAAAUUGCACUACAGUCCUGAUGGAAACGGCUGAUUUGUUAACUUUCCAAAUGUCAACAAAACUCACUAGACGAGGUGGAAUCUUUAUGUGUGUGUAAAAUUUAUUAUGCGAGGAAUUGUAAUGGAAACUCCUUUAUGCACAAAUAUUGUAAACUUGGAGUCACGCGAUGAUAUGUUGUUGGUCCUCCCACUACGACUCAGGAAAGCAUGCACAAGGUGGUGAAAGUGGACAGUCAUGAGCUUGAUGCUACUUUCCAAUAAAUAUCGAGGGACUUAUUCUGGUGACACGAUGAUCAAUGCUUGGCUGCUGUUUGGCAAAUAAAAAUAAUCUCACUCUUGUACAUAAUAACCUCAUCAUGUAGGCUAUACCUGCAUUGUACCUGCCAGCUGUUGGCUAGAGCAUGUGCCAAGACCAGAGUGGACACAUUCGCUAUAUAACGCAAAAUAUAUGGUGACAAAAACAUCAGAAGAGUUGAAAAUAAGAUGGAAAACCAUUUAACAUGGGAAUAGAAAUUCAACCACAAAAGUAAUUAUGUGCACUACGUCAUCGCGCACAUCCAUUUUCCCACAAGUCAAUUUGAUGGAAAUAUGACCAUAUUGUAUAUGCAUAUUGUUUUUAUAGAGAUUUUAGAAUAUUUGCAUAAAAUUCUGUCGCAAUUGGAUGGAAUCCUAGCUAUAGAUUGAAAUAGAUUGUUAGUUACCAAAAUUCCAGUAGCUUUGGUAAAUUACCGGUAGCUUUGCAACCCUAGCUCUAUGCCUUACUGUCAGUACAGAGAAUCCGUGUUGUGAAUAAGGUGGUUCAUGGUGUCACAAAUAUGUGAAUACAAUAUCCAAACGUUUUACUUCUCUUCAACUACUAGAGUUAGUAUUAUUAACACAAAACACUUAUUGAAUUCAUUUUCCCCCUGCUUCUUAAACUACACUGAACAAAAAAUAUAAACGCAACAUGUAAAGUGUUGGUCCCAUGUUUAAUGAGCUGAAAUAAAAGAUCCCAGAAAUUGUCCAUAAGCACAAAAAGCUUAUUUCAUUUAAAUUUGGUGCACAAAUUUGUUAACGUCCCUGUUGGUGAGCUUUUCUCCUAUGCUAAGCUAAUCCAUCCAUCUGACAGGUGUGGCAAAUCAAGCUGAUUCAACAGCAUGAUCAUUGCACAGGUGCACCUUAUGCUGGGACAAUAAAAGACCACUAAAAUGUGCAGUUUUGUCACACAACACAAUGCCACAGAUGUUUAAAGUUGAGGGAGCGUGCAACUGGCAUAAGACUGCAGGAAUGUCCACCAUAGCUGUUGCCAGAUAAUGUAAUGUCUCUACCAUAAACCACUUACAACAUAAUUUUAGAGAAUUUGGCAGUAUGUCCAACCGCAGACCACGUAUAUGGCUUCGUGUGGAUGAGCAUAAACUAUAACAAUGAACACAAUUGCAUUUUAUCGAUGGCAAUUUGAACAGACAAAAAUACAGUGACAAGAUCCUGAGGACAAUUGCGAGGCCCAUAUUUUAAGCUAUCUGUGAUCAACAGAUGCAGAUCUGUAUUCCCAGUCAUGUGAAAUCCAUAGAUUAGAACCUAAUUUAUUUAUUUCAAUUGACUGAUUUCCUCAUAUGAACUGUAACUCAGUAAAAUCUUUGACAUUGUGGCAUUUAUAUUUUUGUUCAGUAUACCAUUUGAAUGACAUGAGAUUAACCAUUGUGAAAGUGAUGAUUAAAAACUAGGUUACUAUCAGCAUGAAGGACAAUGUUUUAACGUAGACUUUGGUGAACCAGUUUGUGCUUUCUUGUAAUUUAUGUAAAUAAAGUGUUAUUUUUUAUUAUUAAA
This 2040-nucleotide long non-coding RNA is filed under the name Salmo salar (Atlantic salmon). RNAcentral's name for it is "lncRNA (ENSSSAG00000100389.1)". Lineage: Eukaryota; Metazoa; Chordata; Actinopteri; Salmoniformes; Salmonidae. The record is from RNAcentral.